UGUCUAUCUGCAAGUCGAGCGAGACUCUUCGGAGUCUAGCGGCGGACGGGUGAGUAACACGUGGGCAACCUGCCUGUAAGACUGGGAUAACACCGGGAAACCGGUGCUAAUACCGGAUAAUCCUUUUCCUCUCAUGAGGAAAAGCUGAAAGUCGGUUUCGGCUGACACUUACAGAUGGGCCCGCGGCGCAUUAGCUAGUUGGUGAGGUAACGGCUCACCAAGGCGACGAUGCGUAGCCGACCUGAGAGGGUGAUCGGCCACACUGGGACUGAGACACGGCCCAGACUCCUACGGGAGGCAGCAGUAGGGAAUCUUCCACAAUGGACGAAAGUCUGAUGGAGCAACGCCGCGUGAGCGAUGAAGGCCUUCGGGUCGUAAAGCUCUGUUGUUAGGGAAGAACAAGUACCGGAGUAACUGCCGGUACCUUGACGGUACCUAACCAGAAAGCCACGGCUAACUACGUGCCAGCAGCCGCGGUAAUACGUAGGUGGCAAGCGUUGUCCGGAAUUAUUGGGCGUAAAGCGCGCGCAGGCGGUCCUUUAAGUCUGAUGUGAAAGCCCACGGCUCAACCGUGGAGGGUCAUUGGAAACUGGGGGACUUGAGUGCAGAAGAGGAAAGCGGAAUUCCACGUGUAGCGGUGAAAUGCGUAGAGAUGUGGAGGAACACCAGUGGCGAAGGCGGCUUUCUGGUCUGUAACUGACGCUGAGGCGCGAAAGCGUGGGGAGCAAACAGGAUUAGAUACCCUGGUAGUCCACGCCGUAAACGAUGAGUGCUAAGUGUUAGAGGGUUUCCGCCCUUUAGUGCUGCAGCUAACGCAUUAAGCACUCCGCCUGGGGAGUACGGCCGCAAGGCUGAAACUCAAAGGAAUUGACGGGGGCCCGCACAAGCGGUGGAGCAUGUGGGUUUAAUUCGAAGCAACGCGAAGAACCUUACCAGGUCUUGACAUCCUCUGACACUCCUAGAGAUAGGACGUUCCCCUUCGGGGGACAGAGUGACAGGUGGUGCAUGGAUGUCGUCAGCUCGUGUCGUGAGAUGUUGGGUUUAG
This 1045-nucleotide ribosomal RNA is filed under the name Bacillus sp. (in: firmicutes). RNAcentral describes it as "bacterial SSU rRNA". It matches the Rfam family "Bacterial small subunit ribosomal RNA", at positions 48 to 1084 of the family's 1533-position model. The record is from RNAcentral. Lineage: Bacteria; Bacillati; Bacillota; Bacilli; Caryophanales; Bacillaceae.